CGCUACUGUCGCCGUUUAGGAGCCACGCGCCGCGCCGACGCAAUCUAAGUACUGGUCGCGACACGUCGCCGAAUACUUGUAGCACGCUUAUUUCGUUUAAUUUUUAUGCCACGGAAAAGUGUGCUAUAGUUAAAUGGAUAGCUCUGUGCCAAAUACCUACACCAAAAUGCCGAGAAAUUACAUAAGGAAGGCCCCUCAGCGAAACCUCAUCUCAUCUCAGAUGACCAAAUAAUGAAGGCCAAUUAUUUUGAUCUCAAAGUGUGACUAUUGCCAAUAUAAAUAAUUUAAGACAAGAUUCACAUUAUAAUAGAUACAGGGUGGAAUUUUGUAAUGCCACCUGGAGGGAAAGUACUCUUAGUAAUGUAGAGGAAUCGAACCAACUAAAAUUUGUUAAAAAUUA
Molecule: long non-coding RNA, 400 nt
Organism: Ostrinia nubilalis (European corn borer)
Lineage: Eukaryota; Metazoa; Arthropoda; Insecta; Lepidoptera; Crambidae
Exons: 2
Source: RefSeq, a predicted model, not a curated record